GACGAACGCUGGCGGCGUGCUUAACACAUGCAAGUCGAACGGAAAGGCCCUGCUUUUGUGGGGUGCUCGAGUGGCGAACGGGUGAGUAACACGUGAGUAACCUGCCCUUGACUUUGGGAUAACUUCAGGAAACUGGGGCUAAUACCGGAUAGGUGCUCCUGCUGCAUGGUGGGGGUUGGAAAGUUUCGGCGGUUGGGGAUGGACUCGCGGCUUAUCAGCUUGUUGGUGGGGGAGUGGCUUACCAAGGCUUUGACGGGUAGCCGGCCUGAGAGGGUGACCGGCCACAUGAGGACUGCGAUACGGCCCAGACUCCUACGGGAGGCAGCAGUGGGGAAUAUUGCACAAUGGGCGGAAGCCUGAUGCAGCAACGCCGCGUGCGGGAUGACGGCCUUCGGGUUGUAAACCGCUUUCGCCUGUGACGAAGCGUGAGUGACGGUAAUGGGUAAAGAAGCACCGGCUAACUACGUG
This 468-nucleotide ribosomal RNA is filed under the name uncultured bacterium. RNAcentral describes it as "partial 16S ribosomal RNA". It matches the Rfam family "Bacterial small subunit ribosomal RNA", at positions 28 to 507 of the family's 1533-position model. The record is from RNAcentral.